UACAGAGGGGGCAAGCGUUGUUCGGAAUUACUGGGCGUAAAGGGCGCGUAGGCGGCCUGUUAAGUCGAACGUGAAAUCCCCGGGCUCAACCCGGGAACUGCGUCCGAAACUGGCAGGCUUGAAUUCGGGAGAGGGAUGCAGAAUUCCAGGUGUAGCGGUGAAAUGCGUAGAUAUCUGGAGGAAUACCGGUGGCGAAGGCGGCAUCCUGGACCGACAUUGACGCUGAGGAGCGAAAGCUAGGGGAGCAAACGGG
This 253-nucleotide ribosomal RNA is filed under the name uncultured bacterium. Its description in RNAcentral is "partial 16S ribosomal RNA". It matches the Rfam family "Bacterial small subunit ribosomal RNA", at positions 524 to 776 of the family's 1533-position model. The record is from RNAcentral.